CCUCGUUCAUGGCGCGAUAGGUCGCAUCGCGCGGCGACAAUCCUUCCUCGAUGUUGCGCUCGACGUUUUCCACCACGACGAUGGCGUCAUCGACCACGAUGCCGAUCGCAAGCACCAGGCCGAACAGGCUCAGCGCGUUGAUGGAGUAGCCGAACAGCAGCAGCACCGCGAAAGUGCCGAUGAUCGAGACCGGCACCGAGAUCAGCGGAAUGAUCGACGCGCGCCAGGUCUGCAAGAACAGGAUGACGACCAGCACCACCAGCGCGACGGCUUCGAGCAGGGUGUGGAUCACGGCUUCAAUCGACGCGCGGAUGAACCGCGUCGGAUCGUAAGCGAUCCGGUAGUCGACGCCCUCGGGCAUGUUCGC
Molecule: unclassified non-coding RNA, 367 nt
Filed under: Hevea brasiliensis (rubber tree)
Lineage: Eukaryota; Viridiplantae; Streptophyta; Magnoliopsida; Malpighiales; Euphorbiaceae
Source: RNAcentral